Molecule: ribosomal RNA, 421 nt
Filed under: Prevotellamassilia timonensis
Lineage: Bacteria; Pseudomonadati; Bacteroidota; Bacteroidia; Bacteroidales; Prevotellaceae
Description: bacterial SSU rRNA
Rfam family: Bacterial small subunit ribosomal RNA
Source: RNAcentral
UCGGCUUAAGUGCCAUAACGAGCGCAACCCUCAUCCUCGUUUGCCAUCAGGUAAUGCUGGGCACUCCGGGGAUACUGCCAUCGUAAGAUGUGAGGAAGGUGGGGAUGACGUCAAAUCAGCACGGCCCUUACGUCCGGGGCUACACACGUGUUACAAUGGGCGGUACAGAGGGCAGCCACCACGCGAGUGGGAGCUAAUCCUCAAAGCCGUUCUCAGUUCGGACUGGAGUCUGCAACCCGACUCCACGAAGCUGGAUUCGCUAGUAAUCGCGCAUCAGCCAUGGCGCGGUGAAUACGUUCCCGGGCCUUGUACACACCGCCCGUCAAGCCAUGAAAGCCGGGAGCACCUGAAGACCGUGACCGCAAGGGUCGGCCUAGGGUGAUACUGGUGAUUGGGGCUAAGUCGUAACAAGGUAGCCGUA